Molecule: ribosomal RNA, 484 nt
Filed under: uncultured bacterium
Lineage: Bacteria
Description: partial 16S ribosomal RNA
Rfam family: Bacterial small subunit ribosomal RNA
Source: RNAcentral
AGUGAACGCUGGCGGCGUGCUUAACACAUGCAAGUCGAACGAGAACGGAUUAUAGCUUGCUAUAAUUGUCAGCUAAGUGGCGCACGGGUGAGUAAUGUAUAGGUAAUAUGCCUCUUACUAAGGGAUAACAAAUGGAAACGUUUGCUAAUACCUUAUACUCCUUAUUAACAGAAGUUAAUAAGGGAAAGACUUAUUGGUAAGAGAUUAGCCUGUAUUGUAUCAGUUAGUUGGUGGGGUAAUGGCUUACCAAGACUAUGACACAUAACUGGUUUGACAGGAUGAUCAAUCACACUGGGACUGAGACACGGUCCAGACUCCUACGGGAGGCAGCAGUGGGGAAUAUUGCACAAUGGACGAAAGUCUGAUGCAGCAACGCCGCGUGGAGGAUGACACAUUUCGGUGCGUAAACUCCUUUUAUAUGAGAAGAUAAUGACGGUAUUAUAUGAAUAAGCACCGGCUAACUCCGUGCCAGCAGCCGCCGUAA